This 375-nucleotide ribosomal RNA is filed under the name uncultured bacterium. RNAcentral's name for it is "bacterial SSU rRNA". It matches the Rfam family "Bacterial small subunit ribosomal RNA", at positions 525 to 896 of the family's 1533-position model. The record is from RNAcentral.
ACGUAGGGCGCGAGCGUUGUCCGGAAUUAUUGGGCGUAAAGAGCUCGUAGGCGGCUUGUCGCGUCGACUGUGAAAACCCGUGGCUCAACCAUGUGGUCUGCAGUCGAUACGGGCAGGCUAGAAUUCGGUAGGGGAGACUGGAAUUCCUGGUGUAGCGGUGAAAUGCGCAGAUAUCAGGAGGAACACCGGUGGCGAAGGCGGGUCUCUGGGCCGAUAUUGACGCUGAGGAGCGAAAGCGUGGGGAGCGAACAGGAUUAGAUACCCUGGUAGUCCACGCUGUAAACGUUGGGCGCUAGGUGUGGGGGGCCUCUCCGGUCCUCUGUGCCGCAGCUAACGCAUUAAGCGCCCCGCCUGGGGAGUACGGCCGCAAGGCUA